This 544-nucleotide ribosomal RNA is filed under the name uncultured bacterium. Its description in RNAcentral is "bacterial SSU rRNA". It matches the Rfam family "Bacterial small subunit ribosomal RNA", at positions 32 to 611 of the family's 1533-position model. The record is from RNAcentral.
AACGCUGGCGGCAGGCCUAAGACAUGCAAGUCGUACGCGAACGACCUUUCGGGGUUAAGUAGAGUGGCGAACGGGUUAGUAACGCGUGGGAACAUACACAGCACAGGGGGAUAACCAUUGGAAACGAUGGCUAAUACCGCAUACGCCCUAUUGGGGAAAGAUUUAUCGGUGUUGGAUUGGCCCGCGUUAGAUUAGCUAGUUGGUGGGGUAAUGGCUCACCAAGGCGACGAUUUAUAGCUGGUUUGAGAGGAUGAUCAGCAACACUGGAACUGAGACACGGUCCAGACUCCUACGGGAGGCAGCAGUCGGGAAUAUUGUGCAAUGGGGGCAACCCUGACACAGCCAUGCCGCGUGAGUGAAGAAGGCCUUAGGGUUGUAAAGCUCUUUCAGAUGUGAGGAUGAUGACGAUAGCAUCAGAAGAAGCUCCGGCUAACUUCGUGCCAGCAGCCGCGGUAAUACGAAGGGAGCUAGCGUUGUUCGGAAUUACUGGGCGUAAAGGGCGUGUAGGCGGAUUAUCAAGUUAGGGGUGAAAUCCCGGGGCUCA